This 237-nucleotide ribosomal RNA is filed under the name uncultured bacterium. RNAcentral's name for it is "partial 16S ribosomal RNA". It matches the Rfam family "Bacterial small subunit ribosomal RNA", at positions 28 to 263 of the family's 1533-position model. The record is from RNAcentral.
GACGAACGUUGGCGGCGUGCUUAAUACAUGCAAGUCAACUGAAACACCGGUAGCAAUACUGGUGUGGAGGUGGCGCACGGGUGAGUAACACGUAGGUAAUCUGCCUUCAGGUCUGACAUAACUCCGGGAAACCGAAGCUAAUAUCAGAUGAUGCAGCGGCUUGACAUCAAGACAGUUGUUAAAGCUUCGGCGCCUGAAGAUGAGCCUGCGCCNGAUUAGCUAGUUGGCGGGUACGGA